Molecule: ribosomal RNA, 1191 nt
Filed under: Triticum aestivum (bread wheat)
Lineage: Eukaryota; Viridiplantae; Streptophyta; Magnoliopsida; Poales; Poaceae
Description: partial small subunit ribosomal RNA
Source: RNAcentral
AUGCACAGCAAGCGCACGCCACACGCGUCACGGGACACCACCCACGUCCUUAUCCACACCGCUCUUUCUCUCAUCCACACAAAUUCUCCAGCACCCGUCCUCUCCGCUCGCGCAACACCUGCCUCGCCUCUCAGCUCACGCAUCCUCUGUCUCACCUCUCGCUCGCGCCGCCGGAUACUAGCUCCGGCGAGCCCCACCACCGGAGGACUUCUCUCUACUACAAUUUCUCCCUCUCCGACGAGGCCUCCCCCUCCAGUUCCCCGACGACCCCUCUCACCCAGGGAUAGACCAGCCCGACGGACGAUGGAGCUACCGCCGGACACACCAGGAGCUUCAUCCGGCCACGCCGGGAGCUGCAACCGAUGGACGGAGGAGCUACAACCGGCCACGCCGGAGCUGCAACCUGUGGACGGACGAAGCUACAAUCGGAGCUGCGAUGGGGGCGGCACACGGUGCUACAUCCGGCGAUGUUUCAAUCGGCAGGGCAAUCUGCUACAACCGAUGCAGAUUUUUGCUACCACCGCGCGAUGGGAAAAUCUGCUACAACCAAACGGCGGCAACUCCGCGGAGCUGCAUCCUGAUCUCAAGUGGAAAGGUGAACCCAUAUAUGAUUCAGCAGCUUCAAGCACAAUUUUUUUAGCUUUCUUUGCUGCGCUGUCGUAUUGGUACUACUCACGUGUCUUUCAUGAUGCUUUUUUUUUGGGGUUUUCUGUUCCUUUCCUUGGGCCGGCUCUCCGGCCUCCCCACCCUCCUAACCUCUGCCGAGACCCGAGAGAAUCAGACGUUGAGGAGCAGUCAAAAGCGAAGACCGGCGGCCGCCGGCCCAGCUGCCCCUGCCCUAUGCGUGCGUAUAACUUCUACUACUCCCCUUCUUCCCCUCCCUGGUUGGUUGGUUCCAUCUCCCGCAGCGAAAAUGGCGGCCGCUCUCAUCUGACCCAGCUCAGGCCGCCGCUGUCGUGGACGCCGGUGACAGCAACACAAGCUAAGCUGCUCAAGAAAUUCCCGGAGGUUCUUGGGUGCGAUCUCGAGAGCGAGGUGAAGCUGAAUGUCGGCAAGCUGGACAGUGACUGGGGGAUAAACGGGAAGACUCUCCGGAGCGUUCUCUUACGGAAUCCCAAGGUUUUGGGCUACAAUGUGGACUGCAGAGGGGACUGCGCGGCGCAGUGCACCCGCUGCUGGGUUAGGUUUUAG